Arvicola amphibius (Eurasian water vole) is the source of this 996-nucleotide long non-coding RNA. RefSeq lists it as uncharacterized. The transcript has 3 exons. Lineage: Eukaryota; Metazoa; Chordata; Mammalia; Rodentia; Cricetidae. The record is from RefSeq and is a predicted model, not a curated record.
GCCCACCAGCUAGGACUGGAACGCAAGGUCAAAGUCUCCGGCAGUAGAGGGGGGGGGGCACAGAGCAAGGGGUGGGGCUAGGCACCGUGCAGCUCCCAGGGACAGAACUUAGUCUGGCAAAGGAACCUCAUGUCCCCUGGCUCUAGUGAGCUGCCUGACUUUUCUGGCUGAUCCCAAGCCCCUGUGGACAGGCCCGUGGGGAGGAGGGGUUCAUGGGCACAAGAAGACCUAUCUCCCUGGCCAGCUGGAGAUGAGCCUCUUCCCUCCCUCUUGCUGCCACUCAGCAGAGGGGAGGAUCGGUCCCUGGGCAAUUGUGGGACCGAUCAGAAGAAGGCAGGAACUUCCAGGCCAGUCAGCUAGCUCACUGCUGUUCUGGGACACAGGACAGAUGAGACCGAGAAGGGGCGCCUGUCUGGGCAGCGAGGAUGUCCCAGAGACGAAAGCAGCAGGGCUCCAGUCCUUCUUCUGCCAAGGCUAGACCUCCAGCCUGGAAAGGGAGAACAAAACUCAUCUGGCCCCAAUAGGGGAGGGGAACUGUGAUGGUCCAGCCUCUACACCCAGCCUCGACUUGAGCAACAUCCACUGAGAAGGAAGCAGGAAUAACACAGGUGGGAUCCCAGGGCCACAUGAAUGCUAGGAUCCCCUAAAGAUACUAUCACCCCCAUGCAGCAGAAAGUAAAUUUAAAAAUACAACACUCACAUUCCCAAGAGGUGUUUUGUUUGCAUGGGCAUCUGUAUGUAUAAAACAUGAAUACUUCGUGCCUGAGGAGACCAGAAGAGGGUGUCAGAUCCCUGGAAUUGGAGUUACAGAUGCUUGAGUGCUGCCAUGUAGGUGCUGGGAACUGAACCUGGGUCUUCUGCAAGAGCUGCCAGUGCUCUUAACCACUGAGUCAUUUCUUUGCCCCAAGACUGAAACUUUUAAUUCAAAACUGAAUCAAAUCAAUAAAGUGCCUUGCUGAGCAUAGAGGAGACUGGGGUGAAAAAAAAAAUCACAAA